This 730-nucleotide ribosomal RNA is filed under the name uncultured bacterium. RNAcentral describes it as "bacterial SSU rRNA". It matches the Rfam family "Bacterial small subunit ribosomal RNA", at positions 143 to 848 of the family's 1533-position model. The record is from RNAcentral.
ACAACAGACGGAAACGACUGCUAAUACCGAAUAAGUUCCAAGGGCCGCAUGGCCCAUGGAAGAAAAGGUGGCCUCUACCUGUAAGCUAUCGCCUGAAGAGGGGUUUGCGUCUGAUUAGCUGGUUGGAGGGGUAACGGCCCACCAAGGCGACGAUCAGUAGCCGGUCUGAGAGGAUGAACGGCCACACUGGAACUGAGACACGGUCCAGACUCCUACGGGAGGCAGCAGUGGGGAAUCUUCCGCAAUGGGCGAAAGCCUGACGGAGCAACGCCGCGUGAGUGAUGACGGCCUUCGGGUUGUAAAACUCUGUGAUCCGGGACGAAAAGGCAGAGUGCGAAGAACAAACUGCAUUGACGGUACCGGAAAAGCAAGCCACGGCUAACUACGUGCCAGCAGCCGCGGUAAUACGUAGGUGGCAAGCGUUGUCCGGAAUUAUUGGGCGUAAAGCGCGCGCAGGCGGCUUCCCAAGUCCCUCUUAAAAGUGCGGGGCUUAACCCCGUGAUGGGAAGGAAACUGGGAAGCUGGAGUAUCGGAGAGGAAAGUGGAAUUCCUAGUGUAGCGGUGAAAUGCGUAGAGAUUAGGAAGAACACCGGUGGCGAAGGCGACUUUCUGGACGAAAACUGACGCUGAGGCGCAAAAGCGUGGGGAGCAAACAGGAUUAGAUACCCUGGUAGUCCACGCCGUAAACGAUGGAUACUAGGUGUAGGAGGUAUCGACCCCUCCUGUGCCG